RNAcentral lists this ribosomal RNA (413 nucleotides) under uncultured bacterium. RNAcentral's name for it is "bacterial SSU rRNA". It matches the Rfam family "Bacterial small subunit ribosomal RNA", at positions 917 to 1333 of the family's 1533-position model. The record is from RNAcentral.
GGGCCCGCACAAGCGGUGGAGCAUGUGGUUUAAUUCGAUGAUACGCGAGGAACCUUACCAGGGCUUAAAUGUAAGUUGCAUAAGCUAGAGAUAGCUUUUUCUUCGGACCACUUACAAGGUGCUGCAUGGUUGUCGUCAGCUCGUGCCGUGAGGUGUCAGGUUAAGUCCUAUAACGAGCGCAACCCCUGUUGUUAGUUGCCAGCGAGUCAUGUCGGGAACUCUAACAAGACUGCCGGUGCAAACCGUGAGGAAGGUGGGUAUGACGUCAAAUCAUCACGGCCCUUACGUCCUGGGCUACACACGUGCUACAAUGGUCGGUACAGAGAGCAGCCACUACGCGAGUAGGAGCGAAUCUUCAAAGCCGAUCACAGUUCGGAUCGGAGUCUGCAACUCGACUCCGUGAAGCUGGAAUC